AUUGAACGCUGGCGGCAGGCCUAACACAUGCAAGUCGAACGAGUGGCGGACGGGUGAGUAAUGUCUGGGAAACUGCCUGAUGGAGGGGGAUAACUACUGGAAACGGUAGCUAAUACCGCAUACCAUCGGAUGUUCCCAGAUGGGAUUAGCUAGUAGGUGGGGUAAAGGCUCACCUAGGCGACGUGCCCUAUCUGGUCUGAGAGGAUGACCAGCAACACUGGAACUGGGACACGGUCACGACUCCUACGGGAGGCAGCAGUGGGGAAUAUUGCACAAUGGACGCAAGCCUGAUGCAGCCAUGCCUCGUGUAUGAAGAAGGCCUUCGGGUUGUAAAGUACUUUCAGCGGGGAGGCGUUACCCGCAGAAGAAGCGCCGGCUAACUCCGUGCCAGCCGCCGCGGUAAUAC
RNAcentral lists this ribosomal RNA (406 nucleotides) under uncultured bacterium. RNAcentral's name for it is "partial 16S ribosomal RNA". It matches the Rfam family "Bacterial small subunit ribosomal RNA", at positions 30 to 526 of the family's 1533-position model. The record is from RNAcentral.